RNAcentral lists this ribosomal RNA (700 nucleotides) under uncultured Bacillota bacterium. RNAcentral's name for it is "bacterial SSU rRNA". It matches the Rfam family "Bacterial small subunit ribosomal RNA", at positions 173 to 863 of the family's 1533-position model. Lineage: Bacteria; Bacillati; Bacillota. The record is from RNAcentral.
AAACUUAGUAUCGCAUGAUAUCAAGUUAAAAGGCGCUACGGCGUCACCUAGAGAUGGAUCCGCGGUGCAUUAGUUAGUUGGUGGGGUAAAGGCUUACCAAGACGAUGAUGCAUAGCCGAGUUGAGAGACUGAUCGGCCACAUUGGGACUGAGACACGGCCCAAACUCCUACGGGAGGCUGCAGUAGGGAAUCUUCCACAAUGGGCGCAAGCCUGAUGGAGCAACGCCGCGUGUGUGAUGAAGGCUUUCGGGUCGUAAAGCACUGUUGUAUGGGAAGAAAUGCUAAAAUAGGGAAUGAUUUUAGUUUGACGGUACCAUACCAGAAAGGGACGGCUAAAUACGUGCCAGCAGCCGCGGUAAUACGUAUGUCCCGAGCGUUAUCCGGAUUUAUUGGGCGUAAAGCGAGCGCAGACGGUUGAUUAAGUCUGAUGUGAAAGCCCGGAGCUCAACUCCGGAAUGGCAUUGGAAACUGGUUAACUUGAGUGUUGUAGAGGUAAGUGGAACUCCAUGUGUAGCGGUGGAAUGCGUAGAUAUAUGGAAGAACACCAGUGGCGAAGGCGGCUUACUGGACAACAACUGACGUUGAGGCUCGAAAGUGUGGGUAGCAAACAGGAUUAGAUACCCUGGUAGUCCACACCGUAAACGAUGAAUACUAGGUGUUAGGAGGUUUCCGCCUCUUAGUGCCGAAGCUAACGCAUUAA